RNAcentral lists this long non-coding RNA (4695 nucleotides) under Sus scrofa (pig). RNAcentral's name for it is "lncRNA (ENSSSCG00030057524.1)". Lineage: Eukaryota; Metazoa; Chordata; Mammalia; Artiodactyla; Suidae. The record is from RNAcentral.
UUUUAGGGCCACACCCUCGGCAUAUGGAGGCUCCCAGGCUAGGGGUCUAAUCAAAGCUACAGCUGCUGGCCUACACCACAGCCACAGUUAACGCUAGAUCCAAGCUGCAUCUGCAACCCACACCUCAGCUCACGGCAACACCAGAUCCUCAAGCCACUGAGUGAGGCCAGGGAUUGAAUCUACAACCUAAUGGUUCCUAGUCAGAUUCGUUUCCACUGCGCCAUGACAGGAACUUCCUGUUUUUUAUUUUUCAAUUUUUCUGUGAUGAACAUAUAUUGUCCUUACAAUAAAGAAGACACAGUAAAAUAUUUUUCCAUUGAAUUUUUAAAGACAUACUUUGAACUGAGCACUAUUAAACGAAAUGCUGUAAAUCAAAACACUUGAACUUAUCACAGAAAAAUUAGGUUCACAAGCAUUUUAUUUACAUAUUAAAUAAUACAUAAAGUAUCUAAAGGACACAUUAAAGAAUUCAUAAGUAAUUCAUUAAGCCCUUUUUUUGAAAGAACUAUUGAAUUUGAAUGGAACAUCUUCCCUUAUAAGGCAGGCUUAAAAACCCAUUAAGAAAAACAAUUUUGAAAUAGUGAAUUUGUAGCUAAAAAUUAUUAUGUAAGGUCUUUAAUCUAGGUUUGUUGAAAAACACCCUAAUAACUAAUUAGUCUGAAUUUUUUUUUCCAAACACUUAAUGAAGUGGCACUAAGUUAUCUCCAAGGAUACUUUAUUGAUAUUUUAAGUAACAUAAAGGCAUUUGGUAAAACUAAUAACAAACUACUGACUUUUAUUUCAGUCUAAAACUUUGCCACUGGGGUAAUACUCUAUAAAUAAAGGCCUUUGACUAACUAUGUUAAGCUGCAUUAAAAGUCACAACAUUCUACAUAUUCAACAUUUAACAUUUAACAUUCUACAUAUUUAAAUAUCUGUAAUCUGAUAAAGGCAUUUAAUGAAAAACUACAUGUAUCUUAAAUCUCUACAUGAUUCAUAGCACAAGAAAAGAAAUGUGUAUGUGUAGUGAAAGGAGAAAAUAAAAGGAUUUGUUACCAGAGGCAUAACAUUAAGAGAGUUUGAAUAAACAUUUACAUAUUUAAUACCUACUUAGCUUUUCAAGAUUCUAGUUUGACUUCUUUAUUCUUUGAUUUUUAUGCCCUAUGCUACAGACUAUAUCUUCUAGUCUGUUAAUCUACCUAAGGCUUAAAAUUACUGAUACUAUCCUGUUAAUAUUCUUUCACAGAUUCUUACUAGUUUUCAAUUGUAUAAAGAUAGAAGGAAAACCUCCUGGUCAAAACAAAUUUGAUCAAAGGCAAUGAAAAAAAUGUAACAAACUGCCUUUCACACACAAUAUUCAGUGCACACUUUAUCCUGAAUAAACUGUGAAGACUUAAAAAUAUGCACUUUUCACAUGAAAAUCUGUAUUUUUUUUUUCUUUUUAUGGCCCCACUUGCAGCAUGUGGAACGUCCUGAGCUAGGGGUUGAAUCUGGAGCUGCAACUGGGGCUACACCACAGCCACGGCAACACUGGAUCCAAGCCACAUCCGCAACCUACACUACACUUAUAGCAAUGCCAGAUACUAAACCCACUGAGCAAGGAACAGCUCAGAAACAAUGUUGGGUAAAAAGGAUAAAAAAGCAAACUGCAUUUUAGACUCUUUCAGUGUUAGUAAGAACACUCAAUGUUAAUGAACACAUCAAUGUAGGAAUAGUAAAAACAGUACAGGAAAGAUAUAAACCAAUUCCAAGAGGGUGGUUACCUCCGGGAAAGGAGGGGUUUUUUAAAAAACAGUUUAAAUAAAAAGGCAAAUGUUAUAACAUACUAAUUCUGCAUGGUAAAUAUAAGGUUGCCUGCUCUAUUUAUCCUCUGUACUUUUGUGAAUAUUUGAACAAUUUCUUAAUUAUUUCAAAUCUAAGCCAUGAUGUAAAUAAUUUUCUUUUGAAAAAAAUGAAAGGGAUUUUACAAUGCAAUUACUUGAAACAUGGGAGUCUACCUUUUUAAAGAUUAUUGCCUUGUUAGUUUCCAUAUUCGAAAAAAUUUUAAUUCCAAUCUAAGAAACUAAAAAUUCUACCCUCUUUUCACAAAUGAUUUGUCUUGGUAACAAUUCCAAAUCAAGUUCUCAAGAGACUCCACGGUUUUAUUUCAAAACUGAACUCUGGGAGGGAUUCCACCUCACAGACCUCCUAAAUGAAGUUAAAAACAUUCUUUACAGGGCUUUGAAUAACUGGCUCCAUCGCGUAGAGCAAACAAGUCAGGCUUGAGGGUCUGACUCCAUUCCUUGCUCUAACUUCCCAAGGAGAAUCUGUCACUUUCUUAGUGAGUAUGUUCUUUCUCAUUUCCUAUGUUCAUGUGCCAUAUUAAACCCCUAUUUAAAAGAAAAGAUUCCUAGUAAGUCUUUAGAUGUAUCUAAUGAAACCUUACUCUAAAGAAAUCAAGACAACAAUGACAAGAUUUUUCCUCUUGUACUAAAAUCACCUGCAGUCAAAUUUCUUUUAAGUUUAGCCCCAUUUCUUUAUAAGCACUGGAAAUUUGACAGGUCAUCUACAGCUAAAUAAAAAUAAGAUUCCUCCCAUUUACAAUCACGUUUGGACACUAAAACAAAUGUUGAAUAUACUUUUGUCACCAGGAAGGAAAUAGUAAAGAUACUCUUAAUUUUCCCAAAAACUGAUAAAUAUUCUCUCAAAGUAGCAACCAUCUGAUUUAAAGAAUUACUGGCUUGUUAUCUUAAACAAGGAAUCAUGUUCAACUCAUAUUGAUGUUUUCUAUCCGAAGCGUGUCAUGCAAUAUUAUAAUUUAUCUCAUAAAUCUACUAGAGUGUGAUCAAAUCCUAUCAACUCUGAUUGGCAUAAAUUUGAAACAGUGAAGCAAUUGCAUCUGUUAAGCAGUUCUAUCUUGCUAGACAACAUUUUAAAAGUUUAUACAAUAAUAUAACUCUAUUUUUUUCUAUAAGACCAUUCUGUACCUGAUUUGAGUUUUUCAUAAGUUUUAUAUAUGUACUGGGUUCAGUGUAAUAUACAGUGAAAAAUAAGAAAGGGAGACAGAAGGAGUAUACGAGAUGGAGUGACAGAGAUGAUCUAAGCGUGAACUUCAGACACACCAAAAAACAUUUUAGUAAAACUCCAAAUGAAUUACAAGGUGUCAAGAUGGGGGGAAAUAAGUUCAUUUGAACAAAAACAAUUAAAAAAAAAAAGUAUAUCUGACUUUAUCCUGAAAAAAUACGAAUGUUGAACUUAAAUAAAAAUACAGGGAGUUCCUAUCAUGGCACAGUGGUAACAAACCCAACUAGAAUCCUUGAGGACUCGGGUUUGAUCCCUGGCCUCACUCGGUGGGUUAAAGAUAACAUUGCCUUGAGCUACAGUGUAGGUUGCAGAUGGGGCUCAGAUCUGGGGUUGCUGUAGCUGUGGUGUAGGUCAGAAGCUGUAGCUCCAAUUCAACUGCCAACCUGGGAACUUCCAUAUGCAGCGGGUGUGGCCCUAAAAAGACAAAAAAAAAAAAAAAAAAAAAUACAUGAGUAUCAAACAGGGAAUUCAAACCUUGCUUUAUAGAACAAAACAGUACAGCAAAAUUUGCCACCUAUGUUUUUUGGUGCAAAAAUCUCUACUUUUUGAAACCGAAAUGAUUUUAUAAAACAUUAUAAUCAUAUGUAUAUGAAUUAAUAAGUGAAAAAUAUAAUAUCCCAAAAGUAAUUCUAUGUAAUUUUAAAGACAUUUCUAAUUAACAAGUCAAUUCAAGGAUGAAAGUGACUAGGCCCUAAAGAUACUGGGGGUAUGGGCUAAAACAAGAGAUAAAUAUUAAAAAUAUUAAAAAUAAUAAUAUCAUCAAGUCAUUGAUCCUACUGCUUUAUAUCAUCGUGACUAAGAUAUGACAAAACUACGUGACAUUCUAUAAACAAUAGCUAAAUUGCUAUUAUAAAUCCCAUUGAGCCAUUCAUGGAUAAUUAAUCAUAUACAAUUUUGAGACAAUUCUCCUACUGAACUUUGUGCUUCUUCAUUACACGCACACAUCUUCACCCAAAAGUGAAUACCUCUUUAACUUCCCUGCAUAGCAACCAGGCCUUGUAUGUAUUCAAUACAUAUUUGCAGACUGGUUUACUUUAACUUUUAUAAAAACAUAACUCAUGAUUUAAAUUAAAAUUUUUAUUCCCUACCACUAAAGUUAAAUAAAACAAAACAACAUUAUGAUCAAGGUAAAACUUUCCAAAAAGACACAACAGGUAAUUCUGAUGGUAAAACUUGAACUCAAGGCAGUGACAAAGAUCUUUUAAUGAAAUCUUGUGGUAAUUCAGAUGUUUUCCUAUUAUCUGAGGACAUGGCAAGUUUUCACAAAAUAGAUAUAUCCUAUUUUCUUAGAAUUUUCAAUUUAGAAUUACUGGAAUGCUAUGUUAACCAAAGAGGAUAAAACUUCCUCUGUUCUUGCCUCUUUUCUAUAGUUUUGUUGUACUCUCCUUAACAUAUGAAACUAUCCACUAGUUAUUUUUCAGUAUCUUUUAGAUUAAUUCCUAAUUAACUGCUUUAAGAAACUGACACUCUAAUGACUACUCUGUAGUUUAAAUAUAAGGACACUUCUUUAAUUACCAUAGAACAACUGUAAAAUAUUUUAUUUUAUUUUUUAAAAAGUAAAUCUCAAGUUUUAUUUUUUUAAUCUAUCAUUCAUUGACUAGGAUUAAAAUAAGAAAUAAUUACAGUUCUGAAAAAAAAACCACUGUUGCUACC